GGAAGUGCUUGCAGAGGGGAGGGGCAUGCAAAAAAUGUCCUCAGGCACUGGGAAGAGGGAGAACCCAGCGGCUUCCAAAGUACCUGCUCUGCACCCCUGCCAUGCCUCCGUCAAAGCUGACCUAGCCUAUCUGGUACAUAUUCACCAUAAUAAACUUUUCUUACUCUCUUAUUCAUCUGUAACAACUUUCCUAGAAAAUUGGUUCUUGCUACCUAACAUCUCACAAGGGGACAAUUCGACAUCCAUAGACUAG
This 253-nucleotide long non-coding RNA is filed under the name Monodelphis domestica (gray short-tailed opossum). Its description in RNAcentral is "lncRNA (ENSMODG00000051172.1)". Lineage: Eukaryota; Metazoa; Chordata; Mammalia; Didelphimorphia; Didelphidae. The record is from RNAcentral.